This 111-nucleotide small nucleolar RNA is filed under the name Erinaceus europaeus (western European hedgehog). RNAcentral describes it as "Small nucleolar RNA SNORA70 (ENSEEUG00000022992.1)". It matches the Rfam family "Small nucleolar RNA SNORA70". From Rfam's summary of the family: snoRNA U70 seems to be exclusive to mammals and is a member of the H/ACA class of snoRNA which contain H (ANANNA) and ACA box motifs. H/ACA box snoRNAs are involved in the conversion of uridines to pseudouridines (5-ribosyluracil) a constituent of structural RNAs (transfer, ribosomal, small nuclear, and small nucleolar). The record is from RNAcentral. Lineage: Eukaryota; Metazoa; Chordata; Mammalia; Eulipotyphla; Erinaceidae.
ACGAAAACAAUAACAACAACAAUAAUAACAUGUGCAGUGGCUGCAAACAGCAGCCUCCUGGGUAGUGUAUGCGGCCUGUUGCUUUAUGUAUAAGGGACCCUGGAGACAGCC